Molecule: non-coding RNA, 115 nt
Organism: Triticum aestivum (bread wheat)
Lineage: Eukaryota; Viridiplantae; Streptophyta; Magnoliopsida; Poales; Poaceae
Source: Rfam
CUUCUACUCCCUCCGUUCCGAAUUACUUGUCGCAGAAAUGGAUGUAUCUAGAACUAAAAAAUGUCUACAUACAUUCAUUUCCACGAUAAGUAAUUCCGAACGGAGGGAGUACUUA